This is a non-coding RNA of Mycena galericulata, 94 nucleotides long. The record is from the annotation of a GenBank genome assembly. Lineage: Eukaryota; Fungi; Basidiomycota; Agaricomycetes; Agaricales; Mycenaceae.
GUCUUCGUGGAGUAAACGAAACUCGCUUCCAUGCCAUAGCUGGCCGUACAGGAAAGUCACGGAAGAGCUGGUGGUUCGAUCCCGCCCGAAGACC